Molecule: ribosomal RNA, 511 nt
Filed under: uncultured bacterium
Lineage: Bacteria
Description: bacterial SSU rRNA
Rfam family: Bacterial small subunit ribosomal RNA
Source: RNAcentral
GGUCAGAUGAACGCUGGCGGCGUGCUUAACACAUGCAAGUCGAACGCGAAAGGGACUUCGGUCCUGAGUAAAGUGGCGCACGGGUGAGUAACGCGUGGAUAAUCUGCCCUUAUGAUCGGGAUAACAGUUGGAAACGGCUGCUAAUACCGGAUACGCUCAAAAUGAACUUUUUGAGGAAAGAUGGCCUCUGCUUGCAUGCUAUCACGUAAGGAUGAGUCCGCGUCCCAUUAGCUUGUUGGCGGGUAACGGCCCACCAAGGCAACGAUGGGUAGCCGAUUUGAGAGGAUGAUCGGCCACACUGGAACUGAAACACGGUCCAGACUCCUACGGGAGGCAGCAGUGGGGAAUAUUGCGCAAUGGGCGAAAGCCUGACGCAGCGACGCCGCGUGAGGGAUGAAGGUUUUCGGAUCGUAAACCUCUGUCAGAAGGGAAGAAACUACGUUGUGCUAAUCAGCAGCGUACUGACGGUACCUUCAAAGGAAGCACCGGCUAACUCCGUGCCAGCCGCGGC